RNAcentral lists this non-coding RNA (116 nucleotides) under Deltaproteobacteria bacterium. Its description in RNAcentral is "SAM-I sequence". It matches the Rfam family "SAM riboswitch aptamer (S box leader)". Rfam says of the family: The SAM riboswitch is found upstream of a number of genes which code for proteins involved in methionine or cysteine biosynthesis in Gram-positive bacteria. The SAM riboswitch acts at the level of transcription termination control. The record is from RNAcentral. Lineage: Bacteria; Pseudomonadati; Myxococcota; Myxococcia.
ACCUUAUCAAGAGUGGCUGAGGGACCGGCCCUUAGAAGCCACAGCAACCGGUUCCGUCGAUGAAACGGAACGCUGGUGCUAAUUCCAGCUCCCGCAAAACGGGAGAAAGAUAAGGU